GAUGAAGAACGUAGCGAAAUGCGAUAAAUAGUGUGAAUUGCAGAAUUCAGUGAAUCAUCGAAUCUUUGAACGCACAUUGCGCCCUUUGGUAUUCCUUAGGGCAUGCCUGUUCGAGCGUCAUUUAAACCUUCAAGCUAAGCUUGGUGUUGGGUGACUGUCCGCUUCACGGCGGACUCGCCUCAAAAUUAUUGGCGGCCGGUACAUUGGCUUCGAGCGCAGCAGAAACGCGAACUCGGGCCCGUCGUAUUGGCUCCCAGAAGCUAUCUUCACAAUUUUGACCUCGGAUCAGGUAGGGAUACCCGCUGAACUUAAGCAUAUCAAUAAGCGGAGGA
Molecule: unclassified non-coding RNA, 332 nt
Filed under: soil metagenome
Description: partial contains 5.8S ribosomal RNA, internal transcribed spacer 2, and large subunit ribosomal RNA
Rfam family: 5.8S ribosomal RNA (bases 1-120)
Source: RNAcentral